GUCGGUGUCGUGACCGUCCAGCCGACGCCGGUGCCCGUCGUCACCGAACUGCCGGGUCGUACGAGCGCGUACCUCGUCGCCCAGGUGCGCGCGCGCGUCGACGGCAUCGUGCUGCGGCGCGAGUUCGUCGAAGGUAGUGAAGUCAAAGCCGGUCAGCGGCUGUACAAGAUCGA
This 173-nucleotide non-coding RNA is filed under the name uncultured Paraburkholderia sp. RNAcentral describes it as "Burkholderia RNA 14". It matches the Rfam family "Burkholderia RNA 14". From Rfam's summary of the family: Co-purified with Hfq, expression confirmed by Northern blot. Putative functional homologue of PA-SraF. The record is from RNAcentral. Lineage: Bacteria; Pseudomonadati; Pseudomonadota; Betaproteobacteria; Burkholderiales; Burkholderiaceae.